UGGGGAAUUUUGGACAAUGGGGGAAACCCUGAUCCAGCCAUCCCGCGUGUGCGAUGAAGGCCUUCGGGUUGUAAAGCACUUUUGGCAGGAAAGAAACGUCAUGGGUUAAUACCCCGUGAAACUGACGGUACCUGCAGAAUAAGCACCGGCUAACUACGUGCCAGCAGCCGCGGUAAUUCGUAGGGUGCAAGCGUUAAUCGGAAUUACUGGGCGUAAAGCGUGCGCAGGCGGUUCGGAAAGAAAGAUGUGAAAUCCCAGAGCUCAACUUUGGAACUACAUUUUUAACUACCGGGCUAGAGUGUGUCAGAGGGAGGUGGAAUUCCGCGUGUAGCAGUGAAAUGCGUAGAUAUGCGGAGGAACACCGAUGGCGAAGGCAGCCUCCUGGGAUAACACUGACGCUCAUGCACGAAAGCGUGGGGAGCAAACAGG
Molecule: ribosomal RNA, 429 nt
Filed under: Acidobacteriota bacterium
Lineage: Bacteria; Pseudomonadati; Acidobacteriota
Description: Acidobacteria bacterium partial 16S ribosomal RNA
Rfam family: Bacterial small subunit ribosomal RNA
Source: RNAcentral